AGCAGAAAUAAGAUCUACCUCAGGGUACCCAGAAUAGUUUGCCGCGUUUCAUUUCACAUUUCUUUAACAAGCUCUGACUUCUAUUGGGCAUGAUAUAAGUGAUACUAAAUAUGAAUUGUUUUCUUUUUACCAGCUUAUAAAGUUAAAAUUACAUCCAUUGUUGAAGAGAACAUUUUUGUGAAGUACAGUGCAGCCCUCCUGGACAUCUACAAAGCUGGUGAAGCUGCUGUUGACAAAGACUCAGAAAUCACCUUCCUUAAAAAGAUAACAUGUGCUAAUGCUGACCUGGAAAAAGGAAAACAAUACUUAAUUAUGGGUAAAGAAGCUCUCCAGAUAAAACAACACUUCAGUUUUAAGUAA
Long non-coding RNA from Erinaceus europaeus (western European hedgehog), 360 nucleotides. RefSeq lists it as uncharacterized. Lineage: Eukaryota; Metazoa; Chordata; Mammalia; Eulipotyphla; Erinaceidae. The transcript is spliced from 2 exons. The record is from RefSeq and is a predicted model, not a curated record.